AUUGAACGCUGGCGGCAGGCCUAACACAUGCAAGUCGAGCGGAUGAAGGGAGCUUGCUCCUGGAUUCAGCGGCGGACGGGUGAGUAAUGCCUAGGAAUCUGCCUGGUAGCGGGGGAUAACGUCCGGAAACGGGCGCUAAUACCGCAUACGUCCUGAGGGAGAAAGUGGGGGAUCUUCGGACCUCACGCUAUCAGAUGAGCCUAGGUCGGAUUAGCUAGUUGGUGGGGUAAAGGCCUACCAAGGCGACGAUCCGUAACUGGUCUGAGAGGAUGAUCAGUCACACUGGAACUGAGACACGGUCCAGACUCCUACGGGAGGCAGCAGUGGGGAAUAUUGGACAAUGGGCGAAAGCCUGAUCCAGCCAUGCCGCGUGUGUGAAGAAGGUCUUCGGAUUGUAAAGCACUUUUAGUUGGGAGGAAGGGCAGUAAGUUAAUACCUUGCUGUUUUGACGUUACCAACAGAAUAAGCACCGGCUAACUUCGUG
RNAcentral lists this ribosomal RNA (484 nucleotides) under uncultured bacterium. RNAcentral describes it as "partial 16S ribosomal RNA". It matches the Rfam family "Bacterial small subunit ribosomal RNA", at positions 30 to 507 of the family's 1533-position model. The record is from RNAcentral.